GGACCUUCGGGCCUCUUGCCAUCAGAUGUGCCCAGAUGGGAUUAGCUUGUUGGUGAGGUAACGGCUCACCAAGGCGACGAUCCCUAGCUGGUCUGAGAGGAUGACCAGCCACACUGGAACUGAGACACGGUCCAGACUCCUACGGGAGGCAGCAGUGGGGAAUAUUGCACAAUGGGCGCAAGCCUGAUGCAGCCAUGCCGCGUGUAUGAAGAAGGCCUUCGGGUUGUAAAGUACUUUCAGCGGGGAGGAAGGUGUUGUGGUUAAUAACCACAGCAAUUGACGUUACCCGCAGAAGAAGCACCGGCUAACUCCGUGCCAGCAGCCGCGGUAAUACGGAGGGUGCAAGCGUUAAUCGGAAUUACUGGGCGUAAAGCGCACGCAGGCGGUCUGUCAAGUCGGAUGUGAAAUCCCCGGGCUCAACCUGGGAACUGCAUUCGAAACUGGCAGGC
This 449-nucleotide ribosomal RNA is filed under the name Salmonella enterica. Its description in RNAcentral is "bacterial SSU rRNA". It matches the Rfam family "Bacterial small subunit ribosomal RNA", at positions 207 to 641 of the family's 1533-position model. Lineage: Bacteria; Pseudomonadati; Pseudomonadota; Gammaproteobacteria; Enterobacterales; Enterobacteriaceae. The record is from RNAcentral.